AUACGAACCGGACAAACGUUAUUCGGAAUUAUUGGGCUUAAAGGGUGCGUAGGCGGCGCGGUAAGUGAGGUGUGAAAGCCCACGGCUCAACCGUGGAAUUGCGCUUCAUACUGCCGUGCUAGAGGGAGAUAGAGGUAAGCGGAACUGAUGGUGGAGCGGUGAAAUGCGUUGAUAUUAUCAGGAACACCGGUGGCGAAAGCGGCUUACUGGGUCUCUUCUGACGCUGAGGCACGAAAGCUAGGGUAGCAAACGGGAUUAGAUACCCGGGUAGUCC
This 274-nucleotide ribosomal RNA is filed under the name uncultured bacterium. RNAcentral describes it as "partial 16S ribosomal RNA". It matches the Rfam family "Bacterial small subunit ribosomal RNA", at positions 523 to 796 of the family's 1533-position model. The record is from RNAcentral.